RNAcentral lists this ribosomal RNA (750 nucleotides) under uncultured bacterium. RNAcentral describes it as "bacterial SSU rRNA". It matches the Rfam family "Bacterial small subunit ribosomal RNA", at positions 45 to 789 of the family's 1533-position model. The record is from RNAcentral.
AGAACAAAAACUGGCAAGUCGACGAGAGACCUUCGGGUCUCUAGUGGCGAACGGGUGAGUAACACGUAGGGAACCUGCCCGCGCACCGGGAAUACGCUCUGGAAACGGAGAACAAAUCCCGAUGUACAGGAAGGAGGCAUCUUCUUUCUGUGAAACAUCCUUUAGGGGAUGGGGCGCGGAUGGACCUGCGGUGCAUUAGUUGGUUGGCGGGGUAAAGGCCCACCAAGACGAUGAUGCAUAGCCGGCCUGAGAGGGCGGACGGCCACAUUGGGACUGAGACACGGCCCAGACUCCUGCGGGAGGCAGCAGUAGGGAAUUUUCGUCAAUGGGCGCAAGCCUGAACGAGCGAUGCCGCGUGAGUGAAGAAGGCCUUCGGGUCGUAAAGCUCUGUUGCGGGGGAAAAAAGGCAGCAUCAGGAAAUGGGUGCUGACUGAUGGUGCCCCGCCAGAAAGUCACGGCUAACUACGUGCCAGCAGCCGCGGUAAUACGUAGGUGGCGAGCGUUAUCCGGAAUGAUUGGGCGUAAAGGGUGUGUAGGCGGGAAUGCAAGUCAGAUGUGAAAACUAUGGGCUCAACCCAUAGCCUGCAUUUGAAACUGUAUUUCUUGAGUGCUGGAGAGGCAAUCGGAAUUCCGUGUGUAGCGGUGAAAUGCGUAGAUAUACGGAAGAACACCAGUGGCGAAGGCGGCCGCCUGUUCUGUUGUUGACCCUGAGGCACGAAAGCGUGACGAGCAAAUAGGAUAAAUACCCCA